Molecule: ribosomal RNA, 251 nt
Filed under: uncultured bacterium
Lineage: Bacteria
Description: partial 16S ribosomal RNA
Rfam family: Bacterial small subunit ribosomal RNA
Source: RNAcentral
UGGUUGCUGUGGGUGGAAUGUGUGGUGUAGCGGUGAAAUGCUUAGAGAUCACACAGAAUAUCGAUUGCGAAGGCACCUCACAAAGCCAAGAUUGACGCUGAGGCACGAAAGUGUGGGGAUCAAACAGGAUUAGAUACCCUGGUAGUCCACACUGUAAACGAUGAUAACUCGCUGUCGGCGAUAUACAGUCGGUGGCCAAGCGAAAGCGAUAAGUUAUCCACCUGGGGAGUACGACCGCAAGGUUUAAACUC